UACGUAGGGUGCAAGCGUUGUCCGGAAUUAUUGGGCGUAAAGAGCUCGUAGGCGGUUUGUUGCGUCGGCUGUGAAAUCCCGAGGCUCAACCUCGGGUCUGCAGUCGAUACGAGCAAACUAGAGUACGGGAGAGGGGGGUGGAAUUCCUGGUGUAGGGGUGAAAUUCGUUGAUAUCAGGAGGAACACCGGCGGCGAAGGCGGCCCCCUGGCCCGCAACUGACGCUCAUGGUCGAAAGCGUGGGGAGCAAACAGG
Molecule: ribosomal RNA, 253 nt
Filed under: uncultured bacterium
Lineage: Bacteria
Description: partial 16S ribosomal RNA
Rfam family: Bacterial small subunit ribosomal RNA
Source: RNAcentral